Molecule: small nucleolar RNA, 72 nt
Organism: Camelus dromedarius (Arabian camel)
Lineage: Eukaryota; Metazoa; Chordata; Mammalia; Artiodactyla; Camelidae
Gene: SNORD107
Product: small nucleolar RNA, C/D box 107
Source: Ensembl
GGUUUAUGAUGACACAGGACCUUGUCUGAACAUGCUGAUUUCAAAGUUGGAGCUUGAAAUGACACUGAAAUC